This 488-nucleotide ribosomal RNA is filed under the name fungal endophyte. RNAcentral's name for it is "eukaryotic LSU rRNA". The stretch from base 164 to 317 matches the Rfam family "5.8S ribosomal RNA". Lineage: Eukaryota; Fungi. The record is from RNAcentral.
GCGGAGGGAUCAUUACCGAGUUUACAACUCCCAAACCCCUGUGAACAUACCAAUUGUUGCCUCGGCGGAUCAGCCCGCUCCCGGUAAAACGGGACGGCCCGCCAGAGGACCCCUAAACUCUGUUUCUAUAUGUAACUUCUGAGUAAAACCAUAAAUAAAUCAAAACUUUCAACAACGGAUCUCUUGGUUCUGGCAUCGAUGAAGAACGCAGCAAAAUGCGAUAAGUAAUGUGAAUUGCAGAAUUCAGUGAAUCAUCGAAUCUUUGAACGCACAUUGCGCCCGCCAGUAUUCUGGCGGGCAUGCCUGUUCGAGCGUCAUUUCAACCCUCAAGCCCAGCUUGGUGUUGGGACUCGCGAGUCAAAUCGCGUUCCCCAAAUUGAUUGGCGGUCACGUCGAGCUUCCAUAGCGUAGUAGUAAAACCCUCGUUACUGGUAAUCGUCGCGGCCACGCCGUUAAACCCCAACUUCUGAAUGUUGACCUCGGAUCAG